Gavialis gangeticus (Gharial) is the source of this 817-nucleotide long non-coding RNA. RefSeq lists it as uncharacterized. NCBI's taxonomy places the organism in Eukaryota, Metazoa, Chordata, Crocodylia, Gavialidae. The record is from RefSeq and is a predicted model, not a curated record. The transcript has 2 exons.
CUCAUGAAGGCGGUGUUGCUACCAGUACUUCUGUACAUUGCACUGGUCUUCCCCCCUCCAAAGCAUAUCAUCCACAGAAUCCAGAAAGCCAUGUGCAUUUUUUUUCUAGGGAUCCAGAAUGGAGAAGGUGGUAAGAAAGAACCUAUACAAAAAAAUAGACCAGGAGCAAGGGAAUGCCAGACAUCCACCUUUUCCUGCAGGCAUCGUACGCGAGCCAGAUCUGCAAGCUGGCGACCAGGCCAGUGAAGAAAACAACCUGUCUUGUCAAGUAUUUUGCAGGUCACCUCCUGAAACUGGGGGUGGUGUAUGCACCAGCCAAAGGGAGACUGUGUACCAUGGAAUACCCCUGGUUCUACAGUGUGCUAAUCAAGUUCUGGAGUGAGUACAGGCUACAGAAAGAAAGCUCAGCAACUAUGACCAACCACAGAAAGAUUCAGAAGGAAGUCAGAGAGAGACAGGCUAUCGACCAUGGAGCUGCUCCCCGAAGAUGACUGCCAAGCCUGAGGACAUGGAGAUACAGAGAGGGGCAAGGGACUAACCCCAGCUGCUCCAGGGAAAGCUGCCAAGAUGAAAGCAAAAUCAUUGACCACCUCCUAUGCCAAAGGAGUAUGGAAAAAGGUAAGCUGGCUCCGUGAAGAGGUGACAGGGGUCAGGCUGUUGACAAAGGAGGCAGUACUGUAUGGCCAUCUGACUAAACAGUAGAGGUCCCUGACAACCCGUUUCAACGAGUUUGUGUCCUGCAUCAGGAGUUCCCUGUGGCAGUGCAGCAGCCUUCUGAUGUACAAACACACCGAGCUCAAGGAAACCGAGUGUGUUA